RNAcentral lists this ribosomal RNA (351 nucleotides) under uncultured bacterium. RNAcentral describes it as "bacterial SSU rRNA". It matches the Rfam family "Bacterial small subunit ribosomal RNA", at positions 335 to 698 of the family's 1533-position model. The record is from RNAcentral.
ACUCCUACGGGAGGCAGCAGUAGGGAAUCUUGCGCAAUGGGCGAAAGCCUGACGCAGCGACGCCGCGUGCGGGACGAAGGCCUUCGGGUUGUAAACCGCUUUCAGCAGGGACGAAGCGAAAGUGACGGUACCUGCAGAAGAAGGUCCGGCCAACUACGUGCCAGCAGCCGCGGUAAUACGUAGGGACCGAGCGUUGUCCGGAUUCAUUGGGCGUAAAGAGCUCGUAGGCGGCUGCUCAAGUCGAAUGUGAAACCUCGAGGCUUAACCUCGAGCCUGCAUUCGAUACUGGGCGGCUAGAGUCUGGUAGGGGGAUCUGGAAUUCCUGGUGUAGCGGUGAAAUGCGUAGAGAUC